Molecule: ribosomal RNA, 246 nt
Filed under: uncultured bacterium
Lineage: Bacteria
Description: partial 16S ribosomal RNA
Rfam family: Bacterial small subunit ribosomal RNA
Source: RNAcentral
GUAGGGGGCAAGCGUUAUCCGGAUUUACUGGGUGUAAAGGGGGCGCAGACGGCGAUGCAAGCCAGGAGUGAAAGCCCGGGGCCCAACCCCGGGACUGCUCUUGGAACUGCGUGGCUAGAGUGCAGGAGGGGCAGGCGGAAUUCCUGGUGUAGCGGUGAAAUGCGUAGAUAUCAGGAGGAACACCGGUGGCGAAGGCGGCCUGCUGGACUGCAACUGACGUUGAGGCCCGAAAGCGUGGGGAGCAAA